Nicotiana tabacum (common tobacco) is the source of this 2316-nucleotide non-coding RNA. The record is from RefSeq and is a predicted model, not a curated record. Lineage: Eukaryota; Viridiplantae; Streptophyta; Magnoliopsida; Solanales; Solanaceae.
UGUGUGACCAUUCUAAGGAAAUUCUCUGCAAACUCAAACACUUUGACCGAAGAAUUCAAAUUUGUUUGCCAUUUACAAUAAAAAAAAGUAAAAAGGUUCUCUUUUUUGUUUUCUCCAAGUUUUCACUAUUUCGGCAACCAAAUCCCUAUUUCUCCUGCUCAUAUCGUCCUUUACCACACACCAUUUCAAAUGAAUCUUUAGCCGUUUGAAACCCUAGUCUUUCAAGAAACCCACUCAAACAAACCCUAGCUCGUCCUCCUAUAAAUAGGAGUGUUGAUAACAAUUUCGGAUAAAAGAUAGCUACCGCUCUUACUCUCUAAAAACUACAGUUCUUUACUCAUUUUCACCCCUAAGAUACUCUCAGAAUUUUCGAUUUGCUCUCUCUUACCUUUGUCGAUCUCAGCUGUGAUAGAGGUGGUGUUUCUAGGUCAUCAAUCCGAAUCCGGAGAUUUGAGUAGCCGCUAAAAAUCGCCCUAGUUCGCUGCACUACAAAAGGGCAAGAAGCCAAGUGGUUGAGAACUUAUUGGCAGACGUGCCUUUGUGGGGAAGACAAGAUUCACCAGUUUCUCUACAUUGUGACUCAUAUGCGGCAAUUGGAAUUGCCAAAAAUAGUGUGUAGAAUGGAAAAAGAAGACAUAUAUGCAUUAGGCAUGGUGCGGUAAAAUAGUUGUUGAAACAUGGUGUUAUUUCCUUGGAAUAUGUAAGAUCCGAAAGAAAUUUGGCGGAUCCUUUAAGCAAGGGUUUGGCAAGGAGAGUUAUCCUUGAAACGUCGAGGAGGAUGGGGCCCAUGGAUUGAGGAAGUAUGGUGGAUACCCGUUUGUGGUCAAACGAAGCUAUAUAAGACCUCAAUAUGCUCUACAUUUCCUAUCCCCACAGUGUAUGCUAGUGUUUUAUAAGGUUGAGCUUACUUUGCUCUUAAUGAUUCCAUAGCCUUAAGGUAGUCUAUGUGUAGAUAGACUUGAUGGAAUCACAUACGUGAGUGUAAAGGUGUGGUCGCCUUUUAUGAAAGGCUUGGGAUGUCUUUCUAGAGCACUCAUGAGACCAAGGUAUGUGCAUGACCAUAAAAGCACUUUGUUAGUAUCGCGGAGUUUGCAUAAAAUUAAGGAUAUAGUAUGUGUUGUGGGGGUCUCAACUAAUGUCCAUUCAGUUCAAGAGUACUUCACUUUGUGGAUGUUAGUUGUUGCCUCAUUUCACUACGUGUCAAUUCAAAUCGAAAGAUAUUGACACUUAAGUACAUGUUCCUUCUUUUGCCCAAAAUUAUUCUAUUUUUGUCUUUGCAUUAGUGGGGAAUUGUUGGUAUUAUUUAUAAUGCAAAGUCAAAAAUUUCUUUUUAAAAAUCUAUUUACAUUAUUGGUAUUGUUGGUAUUAUUCAAGUGUUCUAUCUAUUUUCAAGUAGCAUCUUGCAUGAAGCCUUAAAGCCAAGUGUUGAAUGGCUUUGACAAAUGGCUAUGCAAAUAUAUCAUGUGUCUUCAUGCAUGGAAGACUAGGUACACUUAUUAAUAUUGAAGCCAAGUGGACUAAUAUACAUACAUUCAAGGUACGUGCAUACAUGCAACCUUGCUAAUUGCGUAUAAAUAGGAUGAUCUUUAGCCAUCAUAUCCACUCAAUUCUUAGCCAAGAAUUCACCUUGCUAAUUAUUACUUCCUUCCUACAAUAUUUUAAUUUCUGUAACAACUACAGAAAAACCUUCAUCUUCUCUUCUUUUUGGGCAACUAUUUUGUGCCAAUUCUAAACUUCCAGCCACGAGUGCACGUGUUUGCAGGUGUUGUGGAACCUUGGGGAGCGACCGGUCUUAACGAUUUGCACCCAGUUAAGCCGAAAUCGCUUUCAAGGCAGUGGCUUGUCACGACACAAUAUUUUUGAUAAGUUCUAGUCUUCUUUCCUUUUUGUUCUUAGUCAAUAUUAUCUACUCAUUUUCCUUACAGUUUUUUAUCUAGACUUAAUAUUUAGAUUAGAGCACAUACCUAAACUUAGAGAUUAAUGAAUGUAUUAGUAUAAGAUUGCUGAAAUAUUUUAAAAAUAUUUGUUUUAUGUGAGUUAAUAAUCCUGCUGUAAGUUUAGAAUCCAAUUCAAGUUUACUACUCUUCUAUCUCAGUUUAUUGCCACUACUUUAUUUCUAAUUCUUAUCUUCUUUUUUUGUUUGCAUAUGCACAUGGAGUAAUAUGAGUCUUAAUGCAAGUCUCACCCGAGCAUGAAGUCAUCACCAUAUAUUAGACUAAUGGACAAGAAGAAAAGAAGCAAAACUUGCUUGGGGUCGCCUAUGGCAGCUUUCAUUAAUCUUUACUCAUUUUAUCUAAAUUUCGUUAGUUCUUGUGA